RNAcentral lists this ribosomal RNA (468 nucleotides) under uncultured bacterium. Its description in RNAcentral is "partial 16S ribosomal RNA". It matches the Rfam family "Bacterial small subunit ribosomal RNA", at positions 28 to 507 of the family's 1533-position model. The record is from RNAcentral.
GACGAACGCUGGCGGCGUGCUUAACACAUGCAAGUCGAACGGAAAGGCCCUGCUUUUGUGGGGUGCUCGAGUGGCGAACGGGUGAGUAACACGUGAGUAACCUGCCCUUGACUUUGGGAUAACAUCAGGAAACGGGGGCUAAUAUCGGAUAGGAGCUCCUGCUGCAUGGUGGGGGUUGGAAAGUUUCGGCGGUUGGGGAUGGACUCGCGGCUUACGAGCUUGCUGGUGGGGUAGUGGCUGACCAAGGCUUAGACGGGUAGGCGGCAUGGGAGGGUGGCCGGCCUCCAUAGGCCUAAGGUACGCCCCAGUCGCGUACGGGCGGCAACGGUGGGAAGUCUUGCCCAGUGGUCGCGCGCCUGUUACGACGGCGCCGCGUUCGGAAUGCCCGCCUUCGGGUUAUGAACCGCUUUCGCCUGAGACGAAGCGUUAGUGACGGUAAUGAAUAAAGAAGCACCGGCUAACUACGUG